Molecule: small nucleolar RNA, 62 nt
Filed under: Myotis davidii
Lineage: Eukaryota; Metazoa; Chordata; Mammalia; Chiroptera; Vespertilionidae
Description: Small nucleolar RNA MBII-202
Rfam family: Small nucleolar RNA MBII-202
About the family: MBII-202 is a member of the C/D class of snoRNA which contain the C (UGAUGA) and D (CUGA) box motifs. Most of the members of the box C/D family function in directing site-specific 2'-O-methylation of substrate RNAs.
Source: Rfam by way of RNAcentral
AAUCACUGUACUGCCUUGAUGAAAGUACAUUUGAACCCUUUCCAUCUGACAACUGAGCAAAA